ACGACGACGACGACGACGACGUAUGAUAAGCCCGCGCGCGCGAAAAGGGGUUGGCCGAGCUGCCGCGACAACGAGUCUCAGGAAUCGCAAAUAUUAUGAACAAGUCGCGCAGGCGCCGGCCCGAUCAAUAGGGGGUAGUUAGCUGUGGCUGGCUGGCAGCAGCAGCAGCAGCAGCAGAGUCACUCCGCCGAAGAGAGAGUGAGAGAGUGCACGACGCUCUGCAGCCCCCGCAGAAGGCAGCACAGUGUGGCUCGGUGUGUAUAUGCGUGACUCGUGUGUAAUAUAACGGGGCGGGCAGCAGCAGCAGCAGCAGCAGCAGUUGUGUGCCGCCGGGCGCCCCUCGUCGUCGACUUCCUCGUUCCAUCGUCGUCGUCGUGUGGUGUUGUGUGUUGUUCGUUUUUUCUUUUUCGUUCGGAAGGGGUUGACGAAAAAAAAAUUGUCACAAAGGUGUCGACGACGACACGGGGGAGUGCUUCAUAGUGUACUCGAAUAAUUGUUGAUCGACGAGGAAGAGUGAGCCAAGGCACACGCACGCACGCGUGCUGCUGGUGGUGUGGACAAGAUGCAGCAGCCGCCGCCGAGAAAAGUUCAAUACGCAAAAUUUCUAAAAAAUGUCCAUUCGGAGCAAUCUGCCAAGCUCCUGGCCAAGAAUCAACACGAGUGCGAUCUCCUGGAGGACAUUCGCUCGUUCACGCAUAAAAAGGCUGCGAUAGAGAAGUCCUACGCCGAGGCGUUGCUGAAGAUCUCCUCGGCCUAUCUCAACAAGAAGAUACCCAAUAUACCGGACAUCAAGACCGAUGCCGCGGACGAUCGCUGGAACAUGUGGAACGUCUGGCGCACCGUCCUCGAGGAGAACGAGAAACUCGCCCGGGCCCGCCUGGCGGCCUGCGAGGUGUUCCAGACGCAGAUAGCCGACGAGGCCAAGAGCCUGAAGCACAACAAGGUGGCGAUCGCCAAGAAAUCGGUGGACAAUCUGUGCAUCGUCCAGAAGGAGCUGCAGGCCUGCGUGCAGGACGUCGACAAGACGAAGAAGCUGUACUUCGACGAGGAGCACAGCGCGCACGACGUGCGAGACAAGGCCAAGGACAUCGAGGAGAAGCUGAAGAAGAAGAAGGGCUCGUUCUUCCAGUCGAUCACCUCGCUGCAGAAGAACAGCGCCAAGGUGACGUCGAAGCGCGACGCCCUCGAGGAGAAGUCCACGGGGGCGCGCAACGACUAUCUGCUGGCACUGGCGGCCGCCAACGCCCAUCAGAAUCGCUACUUCGUCGUCGAUCUGCAGCAGACCAUGCUCUACAUGGAGCAAGGCGUGUACGACAAGGUGGCCGAGUACCUGUCGAUCAUGGGCCGCACCGAGCUUCUGACCUGCCUCGCCAUGCAGAACAGCUUCGGCAUCAUACGCGACCAGGCGCAGCAGCUCACGCGCGAGUACAACAUCCAGUGCUGCUGCCUCUACUAUCCGGUCCUCAAGCAGCACAUACAGUACGAGUUCGAGCCGUGCGAUCACGACCAGGUGGAUCGCAUCACGGUGGAUCACGCCGCCGCCCAGACCCUGACCAAGGAGGCCAAACGCUGGGCUCAGCGCAUCGCCCGCGAGAUCAGCACGUUCAAGGAGUCCGGGCGCAAGCUCCAGGCGCUGGUGCAGCUGCGCGACUCGGGCCAGAAGACCGAUCCCAACGAUCCGAACGGGCCCGAUCUCGAGACCAAGAUCGAGGAGCUGAAGCAGACGAUGCGACGCGCCGAGACCGCCAAGAUGAAGGCCGAGGCGCGCAUCGAGUGUCUGCGCCGGGGCGGCGUCAACGUCGACGAGUUCCUGCAGGAGGUCGAGUCGCUCUCUGUGCAGGACCUGCCGCGCUCCGCGAGCUCGCUCUCGAUGCACACCGAUCACUCGGGCAACGCCGACGGCCAGCCGUCCUCGGACUCGUUCUACGACAGCGAUCAGGACGGGGCGGGCAGCGACCUCACCACCGUCGAGAGGCCAGGCGGACAGCAUCAGAGGGUCGACUCGGCCCAGAGCCAUCAUCGCCGCGAGCAGAGGGAGGACGAGGACUCGGGCGGCGACGAGAGACGCCGACUCGACAGCGCCGAGGUCGACGGUGCGAGGAAUUACCGAGACGCAGCACUGCUGGAGCAAGAGAAGCAGCGAAUCGACGAGAUCACGGCCGGCUGGGACGAUCCGACCUCGGCCGACUGGGGCCACGACGACUCCUCGGCCGCCGAGGUCGCCGAGGUGCACGCCCCGGCCGACGGCGGCAGACAAUCAGCCGGAGACACGGCCGAGAGCAGCCAGCAUCAGAACAUUUACAAGUGCACGGCCCUGUACUCGUACACGGCGCAGAAUCCGGACGAGCUGUCGAUCGUCGAGAGCGAGCAGCUGGAGGUGGUGGGCGAGGGCGACGGCGACGGCUGGCUGAGGGCGCGCAACUACCGGGGCGAGGAGGGCUACGUGCCCCAGAACUAUCUGGACGUGGAGCGCGAGCCCGAGCCCCAGGGCCAGGACGGCUUCGGCGCCGGCGACGGUGGCUUGGGUGGCGGCCUCGUGACCCAUCCCACCGGCCUCACUCAGCAGAUAUCGUUCUCCUCGGUGGACUACACCAUCGACGAUCACGACGCCGUCGAUCCGGACGCUCAUCUGCGCGAGCAGCAGGAGCUGGAGCAGCAAAGACGUCGGAUCGAGCAGGAACAGCAGCAGCAGCAAAAACAGUCACAGCCGCAGCAGCAAGUGCAUAAUCACGUGCAGCAGCAGGUGAAAAAGCAACAGCAGCAGCAAGACGGGCCGCAGUACUGCAUGGCCAUGUACGACUACGAGAAGACGAGCGAGGAGGAGCUGAGCUUCAUGGAGGGCGACGUCAUACUGAUAGUGAAGAAGGAGGGCGAGGACGUGGACGACGGCUGGUGGGAGGGCGAGCUCAACGACGUGCGCGGCGUCUUCCCCUGCAUCCUCGUCGAGGCCUGCACCGCGGACGGCACUCUCUUGUCCGACGGCGAGGAGGACGAGGAAGAACCGUUGACGCCGCCGAGCCUGACGGCGCCGCCCGCGCACACGCCACCCGAGGCACCGGACUUCAUUCUCAGCGAGGAGCUAGCCAGAUCCCUCAUGAAUGAAAUGAGAGAACGAGGAUACGUGAACGGCGAUCGGCCGGACAGCUUCAACAUCAACCUGUCGAACAAUCAGAAGGAGCAGUACGGCCAGCAGUUCGGCGAGGACAAGUCCCAGGCGCCGGGGAUCGUUAUUGACGAAGCUCCGGAUCAACCAAACAGUUCGGAUGAAGAAGAGGAGGAGGAAGACGAGGAACCCGAGGGCGUAAAGGCAGCGCGGGAGGCGAAGAAAAAGACCGCCGCUGCGGCGGAGGCCGACGACGACGCUCUCGGCGUGGCGCAGAUCGUCAUUACGGCGGCUACGCCCAUGGAGGAGAUCGAACGGCCCUUCCCAGGCGAGGAGUCGAACAACAACAACAAUAACAACAAUAACAACAACAACAACGACGAGCACGACGCGGAGCAAGAGGCAGAGCCUCAGCAGCAGCAGCAGCAGCAGGAGCCAGAAAAGCCGCCGAAGGACCCGUCGCCGGCCGAGGAGUGUCGCCGGAGCCUCCUGGAGCGGGACGACGACGAGGAGUCGGAGGACGACGAGAAGCCGGACGACCCGCAGCCGACGGACUCGGCCCCCUUCCCAGUGAGUAGCUCGUCGGGUAGCGACGCCGGCGGAGAUUCGGGCCCCAGUACCGGUGAUAAUUCCCAAUGUUUGCCUGCGCGUGCACAGACGAUGACGAUGAAGACGACGACGCAGACGGCCACAGCCACGACGACCGCGACGACGACGACGACGUCGACAGUGACGACGACGCACCAACAGCAGCAGCGCCAGGAGAGCCUCGAAGAUGAGACGUCGGAGUCGUCGUCGCCGCCGCCGGACGGCGCGGCCAAGAUGCUCGUGGGCGGCCGUCGCAGCAUACCCGACGAGCUGCAGCCCGACCAGCUGCAGGCACUGCAGUCGCUCAAGGAGUCGAACGCCUAGGGCUGACUAAACCUCGGCGUCAUGCUCGUCGUCAUCAUCAUCCUCGUUAUCAAUCUGAUGCUGCUGACCAUCGACAGGAGACGUAGACGCUCGCCUACUGCCUUAAUCAAGGGCGCCGCCUGAGAGUAAUACAAUUAUACACUAUACUAAUUGCUACGAUACGCUGUGCGACGAGGACGAAGGGAAAGAAACAAACGAGAAGCAAAUCGAACGUUAUACAUAUUAGCGAAUAUAUUAGUUGGUUAUAUAUAUAUUGUAUUUAAUCGAGAGGCAAAGAGAAAAAACUGCGCGCUCGGAACCUACGCGAGGUGUGUGCGUGUGUAUGUAAUGAUAGCAAAAAUCAUUGAAAAAAAUGACAAAAAAAAUGAGGAAGAAGAAGAAGAAGAAGAAGGGAAUGAAAAAUCUAAAGCAGCAACGACACUGUCGCGCAUCUCUCAUGAAACCAAAAAUAUCAUUAACAAAAAAAUAAAAUAAAAAGUAAAAUAAGCAACAUUUGCUAGGCGUGUUUGUGUCAUAUAAUGUAAUAACGUGUAUCAAGCCUGUAUAUCUCAGACUUUCUCUCUCGCCCACUCUCUAUCUCUCUAAUCUAAAGCUCUAAACUUUACCUCACGUUUAAUCACCAAACAAUUCACCAUUGUAUUAUCCUCAUUAAUCAUUCAUCAUGUUUCCAUUCAACCCACCAAUUUUAGCUAAAAUGGAUUGAAUAUUUAUAGAAACAGAUAGAAAGCCAAUAAGUAAAAA
Molecule: unclassified non-coding RNA, 4756 nt
Filed under: Trichogramma pretiosum
Lineage: Eukaryota; Metazoa; Arthropoda; Insecta; Hymenoptera; Trichogrammatidae
Description: f-BAR and double SH3 domains protein 2, transcript variant X1
Source: RNAcentral